Molecule: long non-coding RNA, 310 nt
Filed under: Gallus gallus (chicken)
Lineage: Eukaryota; Metazoa; Chordata; Aves; Galliformes; Phasianidae
Source: RNAcentral
GGACCACAGCCCCUCCAUAGGGUCAGGAUCCCCUCCUCCCGCACGAUCCGCACCAGGGCGUCAAACACGUUGCGAUACCCGCGGCGCUCGGCAGGGGGCAGCCUCCCGUCCGCGGUCAUCCUGAUGAGCGCCACCUCGGCGGGGGUCCCCACGAAGGCCCCGGUCGCCCCCGCGGUCAUCCCGACGGCCGCUUUGGUGAGGAACCCCGGGGGGGUCCCAUCCGCCCCCGACAGCCGCUCCAGCAGCACGGUGUAAAUGCCCAGCCGGGUGGUCGUGUACGUGGCCUGGCGCAGCAAACCGGCAGACAGCC